Molecule: long non-coding RNA, 4081 nt
Filed under: Nicotiana benthamiana
Lineage: Eukaryota; Viridiplantae; Streptophyta; Magnoliopsida; Solanales; Solanaceae
Description: long non-coding RNA (NBEN_LNC014290)
Source: RNAcentral
GGAGAUAAAGGAAAGAAUUUGAAGAUCACUAAGACCAAAGGUUGCUGCGGUUUUUAAUGGGGCUCAAUGACACCUACAUAGGGGUGAGAAGCAAUAUUCUGUUGUGUUCUCCUUUACCCACUAUUGGGCAAGCCUACUCCAUGGUCAUCCAAGAUGAAAAUCAAAAAGAGAUGCAUUGUGCUCCAAUCUAUCCAGGAGAUUCAGCUUCUUUCAUUGUUGCACAACAAGGUUCUGCUGGAAAGAAAGCGAUUUCAGAGACUUUAAGGGAAUGAAUUCUGCUUAUGAAGGAAACAAGAAUAACUCAUUUUGCUCUUACUGUAAGAAAUCAGGUCAUGUGAUAGGGGAAUGUUAUAAACUUGUUGGAUUUCCUCCGGAUUUCAAGUUCACUAAUCAGAAGAAAUAUCAAGGAUCUAUUUAGGGUAACAAUGCACUUGUUUCAGAUGAUAAUGCAGAACAAAGCUCAGGCAUUAAGGGUCUCAUCCAAGAGAACAUCACCCUAAUUUUGCAGCUUCUACAGCAGGUGCAGAUGGGAAAGCAAGCUGCUAGUAGCUCUAAGAAUAAUGCAGACGUGAACCUAGCUGGUAUAUAUUUUUCAUACAACUGUACAACCUGUUUUGCACAUAACAACAAUCAAACAUGGAUAUUAGAUAGUGGUGCAACUGAACAUACGACUUUUGAUGAAUCUUAUCUCUUUAACAUGAAUAUUCUACCUAAACCUUUGAAUGUAAACCUUCCUAAUUCAUCUAAAGUUAAAGUAACUCAUUCAUGAUCAGUUAAAAUCUUUCCUAACAUUACUCUUCAUAAUGUCUUAUAUGUCCCAGCCUUCAGAUUCAAUUUGUUAUCAGUUCACAAAUGGUGCAAGCAAAACUACUAUAACAUAUUAUUCACUUCUCUAUUUUUUAUGCAGGCCCCUUCAAUGAAGAGGCUUCUGGUGAUUGGUAGGGAGAGUUAUGGAAUAUAUAUUUCGGAAUAAAGGCAUUUGGAACUCAUUUCCAAGAAGCCAUCUUAUUUUGGUAGUAGAGUUGUCCUAGGAAAGAAUCUUUGUAAUCAGAAUGAGUCUUCAGUUUUAUUUUCCUUUUCCAGUCUUUCAAAUGUAAAGAACAAGCUAUGGCACUAUCGUUUAGGCCAUAUGCCUUUGAGUAAUAUGAAGGAGAUUUCAUCUAUUCCUAGUCAUUCUUGUGAUAAUUUCUCUAUACCUUGUGUUAUUUGUCCAAUGGAUAGGCAGUCAAAGCUAACAUUUCCAAACAGUUCUAUCACUACUAAAUCUGUUUUUGAAUUAAUCCACAUAGACACUUGGGGUCCAUACAAUACAAAUACAUGUGAUGGAUACAAAUAUUUUCUAACUAUAGUAGAUUAUUAUAGUAGGAGGACUUGGACAUAUCUUCUUAGCACAAAGCCAAAUGCUUUUCCAGUUUUACAAUCCUUUUUAGCCAUGUAGAGAGACAAUUUCAUAGUAAAAUUAAAGUCAUACGUUCAGAUAAUGCUUUUGAGCUUGGAACAAGAAAGGUACAGGAAGAAUAUUCUUUUUAAACAAGGGAUUCUGCAUCAGACAACUUGUGUUGGGACUCUCCAACAAAAUGGAAUUGUUGAAAGAAAGCACAAGCAUAUUUUGGAAAUCUCAAGGGCUUUACUAUAUCAAUCACAUCUGCCAGUGAAGUUUUGGGGAGAUUGUGUGUUGACUGCAACACAUUUGAUUAACAUGUUUCCUUCAAGGGUACUUAGGUUCAAGACACCUUGUGAAAUCAUAUUUAACACUAAACCUGAUUAUUCCAGACUUAAGUGCUUCGGAUGUCUAUGUUUUGUCUCCACUCUUACAUCUCAUAGGACAAAGUUUGAUUUGAGGGCUUUACCUUGUGUCUUUCUGGGGUAUCCACAUUGUAAGAAAGGGUACAAAGUUCUUAACUUAAACACACAAAAGACUCUUGUAUCUAGGGAUGUAGUGUUUCGUGAAGAUAUUUUUCCUUUUGCCUCUAUCAGAUCCGCAAAAAUUCAAAAACCUAUUUUUCCCCCUUCAGAUUUAUCUAAACAGAAUAUUGAUGUACAAAAUUUCUUUUCUGUAAAUUCAAAAGAGAGAUAUGAAGACUUGGACCAUCUUUUGGAACCUAACAACCAAGAAGUUCCUACACCAAAUCCUCAAAAUGUGAGUAGGAACUCACCUAUUGCAUUCAGAAGAUCCACGAGGAUUGACAAUUCUCCUUCCCAUUCAGAAAUGCAUGUACCGGUGCCAUGUCCUCAACCUGGAAAUACAGAAUCACCAGUCAUACUUAGAAAAUCCUUAAGAGUCAGUAAAACUCCUUCCUAUUUAAAUGACUAUGUUACUAGUGCAAUCCAGUUAACAGAUGUAAGUGGUUCUUAUUUUCUUUCCCCUAUCACACCCACUUCUUACUCCUUUUCUACACUUUCAAGAUCAAAUCAGAAUUUCCUAAAUUGCCUUUCAAUUGUUCAAGAACCACUAACCUUUAAUCAAGCAGCCCAUCAUUCAGGAUGGCAAGAGGCAAUGCAAAAAGAGAUUGAUGCAUUAAUACAAAAUGACACAUGGGAUGUAGUUGAACUUCCUCCAAAAAAAAUGCCCUGCCAUACAAAUGGGUAUACAAGGUUAAACAACUUCAAAUGGAAGUAUUGAGCGUUUGAAAGCAAGAUUAGUCGUUAGAGGAGAUGUACAACGUGAAUGAAUAGAUUUCAAUGAGAAGUUCUCACAUGUGGUCAAAAUGACCACAAUUAGAUGUCUAUUAGCUAUUGCAGUCAAGAAAGGAUGGGGGAUAUAUCAAUUAGAUGUUAAUAACACUUUUCUACAUGGAGAUUUAAACGAAGAAGUUUAUAUGAAAUUUCCGCUGGUAUGAUUGCACCGACUCCUAAACAUGUCUACAAGUUAAACAAGUCACUAUAUGGACUUCGACAAGCUUCACGACAGUGGUAUUCAAAACUCACAGGCGCACUAAAUUUCAAAGGUUAUUCACAUUCCUUAAAUGACUACUCCUUAUAUUUUAAGAGAAAGGGAACUUCAAUUUCCAUUUUAGCAGUUUAUGUAGAUAACAUUGUGCUAACCGGGAACGAUAUAGGGGAACUAAAUGCACUGAAAGAUUAACUUGAUCAAUAAUUUAAAAUUAAUGAUCUUGGAAACUUACAUUAUUUUUUGGGAAUGGAAGUUGUCCUGGAAUUGGCUGGUUUAAUCUUUACUCAACGAAAGUUCACUUUGGAUUUGCUCAAAGAGUUUAAUUGUCUAGAUAAGUCGCUCGUGUCUUCACCUUUAGAUCUAACCUAGAAACUUGUUGCCAACACUGGUGAUAUCAUUCCGAUCCAACAUUGUACCGACACUUGAUCGGCAAAUUGAAUUGCCUAACCCAUAUGCGACCAGAUCUUUCAUUCACUAUGCAACACCUGAGUCAAUAUAUGCAAGAUCCUCGCCAGCCACACCGGGAAGCUGCUCUACGGGUCCUUCGCUAUCUCCUUAGAGAUUCAGGUAUUAGGCUUUUUCUGUCGGCGUCAUCAUCAUUCAAGCUUCAAGAUUUGUGUGACUCCGAUUGGGCUUCUUGCCCAGGUUCAAAGAAAUUAGAAAGUGGCUUCUAUAUCUCCCUUGGAUCCUCACCAAUUUCCUGGAAAUCAAAGAAACAAAUGUCAAUUUCUCUUAGUUCUGUCGAGGUAGAAUAUAGGUCUAUGAGACGGGUAGCUUCAGAACCCACCUGGCUAAUUCGCCCUUUCGAUGAUCUUUCAACACCAAUAGAACUUCCAGUUCCCCUUCAUUCAGAUAGUCAAGCCACAAUCCACAUCGCAAAGAACCCGAUCUUCCAUUAAAGAACGAAACAUGUGGAAAUUAAUUGUCAUUUUGUGAGACUAUAAUUCCUUGCUGGUUAAUUUCAUUGUCCUUUGUCCGAUCUCAGCACCAACUAGCCGAUCUGUUCACUAAAUUGCUAAAAAGCCCAAAGCAUUGUAAUUUGCUCGUCAAGUUGGGUGUGUAUUCAACACCCUCCAACUUGAGGGGGGAUGUUGACGAGGAAGUUGAUCGAGAAAAGGUUGAAGAUGGUGAUAAAAAGAUUUAUCCUUCCUUGUUUAUCGAUAAGAGAAUAAGCAGUGAGGAAGAAGG